UGACGCAGAUGGUAAAGCAUCUGCCUGCAAUGCAGAAGACCGGGGUUCAAUCCCUGGGUCAA
RNAcentral lists this transfer RNA (62 nucleotides) under Ovis aries (sheep). It matches the Rfam family "tRNA". Rfam says of the family: Transfer RNA (tRNA) molecules are approximately 80 nucleotides in length. Their secondary structure includes four short double-helical elements and three loops (D, anti-codon, and T loops). Further hydrogen bonds mediate the characteristic L-shaped molecular structure. tRNAs have two regions of fundamental functional importance: the anti-codon, which is responsible for specific mRNA codon recognition, and the 3' end, to which the tRNAs corresponding amino acid is attached (by aminoacyl-tRNA synthetases). tRNAs cope with the degeneracy of the genetic code in two manners: having more than one tRNA (with a specific anti-codon) for a particular amino acid; and 'wobble' base-pairing, i.e. permitting non-standard base-pairing at the 3rd anti-codon position. Lineage: Eukaryota; Metazoa; Chordata; Mammalia; Artiodactyla; Bovidae. The record is from Rfam by way of RNAcentral.